Molecule: long non-coding RNA, 1467 nt
Filed under: Lathyrus oleraceus (garden pea)
Lineage: Eukaryota; Viridiplantae; Streptophyta; Magnoliopsida; Fabales; Fabaceae
Description: Pisum sativum (pea) long non-coding RNA (PSAT_LNC040941)
Source: RNAcentral
CAUGAGUCCAAAAAGUCAAGAGAAUGUCAAGCUAGAAAGAUGGUUCAUGGUGGUUGACCAGAGAAAGUCAACUAGUCAAAACUGGGGUUCCAUAGACCCUAUCUCCUUCAAUUUUUGUCAUAUGAAAAUGAUUCCAAGAGAAACGUUACUCAAAAUGACAUUCCAAAAAACUUUAAUGUUGAAGUCUAGACGUAGUUUUGCUUGGAAAGUCAUUUUUUAUGGUGAAAGACUAUAGGUCAUUUUGUCUGAACCCUAGUUUUGAGGUCAACUUUCCAAGACGAUAACUUGCUCAAUUUUUAUGAGAUGAAAUCCAUUAAAUUCUAAUGAUCAAAUUCAAGAUGUUUACUUCUACUUUUAUGUUUGGAGGAAGUUCAAAUUCAACUUGAAAAUGCAUGUGCCAAGAAGAAACAUUAUAGGUCAUUUUGGCCCAAGUCCAUUGAACAAGUGAUAUUCCUCAACUUCUAAAAUGCAUAACUCCUUCAUGCAAAAUCCAAAUGAGGUCAAAUUUGUGACUAAAUUGAAUAGGUUUGAAAGAGCUACAACUUUCAUUAAAGAACGCUUCUCAUUUGAAGUCCAUAGAAAAAGUUAUUCAAGGUGGAAAAAGUGAACAUUUGACUUGGGACUUAGAAAAUUUUCAAAUAUGUUUGAUUUCCCAAACUUCCAACUGAAAAUUCAUCAUGAUACAAGCUUCAAAUGAAAAAGUGUUCAACAUGAAAGUUGUUUCCCUUGACCUCACCAUUCCAAAACGUCCAAGAUCACCUCAUUUGGCCAAAGUAACAUAGGACUAGAGCAUGGGUGCAAGUUGAAGGACCAUUUGGAUGUUUUCCACUUCCAUUUUUCAUACACAAUUGCAUGGCCUUCCAACUUGAAUUCAGCAUGAUGCACACUCAUUUUUGGAUCAGAACACAUCAUUUCAUGGGCCUAGCACAUUACAUCAUCCUACACAUAUAUCAUCCUCCAUGAGUCCAAAAAGUCAAGAGAAUGUCAAGCUAGAAAGAUGGUUCAUGGUGGUUGACCAGAGAAAGUCAACUAGUCAAAACUGGGGUUCCAUAGACCCUAUCUCCUUCAAUUUUUGUCAUAUGAAAAUGAUUCCAAGAGAAACGUUACUCAAAAUGACAUUCCAAAAAACUUUAAUGUUGAAGUCUAGACGUAGUUUUGCUUGGAAAGUCAUUUUUUAUGGUGAAAGACUAUAGGUCAUUUUGUCUGAACCCUAGUUUUGAGGUCAACUUUCCAAGACGAUAACUUGCUCAAUUUUUAUGAGAUGAAAUCCAUUAAAUUCUAAUGAUCAAAUUCAAGAUGUUUACUUCUACUUUUAUGUUUGGAGGAAGUUCAAAUUCAACUUGAAAAUGCAUGUGCCAAGAAGAAACAUUAUAGGUCAUUUUGGCCCAAGUCCAUUGAACAAGUGAUAUUCCUCAACUUCUAAAAUGCAUAACUCCUUCAUGCAAAAUCCAAAUGAGGUCAAAUUUG